This 1191-nucleotide ribosomal RNA is filed under the name Triticum aestivum (bread wheat). RNAcentral describes it as "partial small subunit ribosomal RNA". The record is from RNAcentral. Lineage: Eukaryota; Viridiplantae; Streptophyta; Magnoliopsida; Poales; Poaceae.
AUGGCCUCUCAGCAACCUCCGCCGCCGCCGCCGCCGAAGGAGAAGAAAUCCCCGCCACCCGCUCCCACCACCAUAUGCGCCCUCGGCGACGACCUUCUGCGCGAGGUAUUCCUCUGCCUCCCCUCCGUCCCAAGUCUCGUCCGCGCCUCCCUCACCUGCAGCCCCUUCCUCCGCGCCGUCCGCUCGUCGCCUGCAUUCCGCCGCCGGUUCCGCGACCUCCACUCACCCCCGCUCCUCGGCGUCUUCGUUGAGAUCCACGAUGCCGCCAUGCCCACCUUCGCGCCCACCCGCCGCCGCUCCGACGUGGACCACGCCGCCGCCAUCCGCGGCGCCGAUGUCUUCCUUACCCUGCUCCCCGAAGACGAUAAGGACGCCGAUCGCGAGUGGUCCAUGGAAGACUGCCGCGACGGAUAUGUCGUUCUCGUCAACUGGGAAAUCAAGCAAAUGGCUGUCUACGAUCCCCUCACACGGGCCCUGGAUCUCUUCUCCGCGCCACCGGACGAGAUCUGCAGCGACAUGCACGUUGAGUUCCACAUGCUCGCCUCUGAAGAAUGCCACGAGCAGUUCCGCAUUGUCUCUGUCUGUCAUGACGAGUGCGGGGCGCAAGCUGCCGUGUUCUCAUCAGAUACCAGAGAGUGGCAGGUUUCCCCGUUUUCGGAGGAUGCCAGCCCGCCGGACGAUGGUUUGGGUGGUACGAUGGUGAAUGGGUCUGUUUAUUGGACAUUUACAAGCGGAUCCAAUAUCCGUGUGCUGAACACUGCCACACUGCAAUUCUCAGAAAUCAAUCCGCCGCUGCAUAUGGAAGGGCAAGGGGAAUUUAAGCCUGGUGAGACCAAGGAUGGGAAGCUCUGUUUGGUCUGCGCAGUUAAGCUCAUGCUUGUUGUUUGGAUCUGGAGACCCGACGAUGACGGUGUUGAUAAAUGGAUCCUGGACAAGACAAUUUCGCUGCAGGAUGGUCUGGAUGGUGAUGUUGCUCUCAAUAUUGUGGCGAUUAUCAGUGGCUUUGUGUAUUUUUCUACUUUUUCUGAGAUGAAUCAGGAUUCUUGCUUGUUCAUGUCCUACUGCUUUGAAACAGAAAAGCUGAAUAAGCUCUGUCCUGUCACUCACUCUUACCAUUCCUAUCCUUACAUCAUGGGGUUCCCUCCUUCAUUGGUAUGCAAUAAGGUGAACCCUCAAUCUGAUGAGGCUUGA